AAAUCCAUAAUAUUUAAGUCCAUUUGGUCCAUCAAUGAUUUUUCAUCUUUCCAUUACCAUUCUAAACGAUAAUAGAUUAGUUUUCGUUCUUUUCUUUUGAGAUCGAAAUUUUCUCUUUCACUCUCUCAAACAACAGAUACCACCACCACUACCACCUCUAUCACCACCACCAGCCAUAACCUCCGCCACCACCAUCUCUGCCACCAUCGUCAAUUCGAACAUGUUUUAGUAACGAAAUUUCAUUUGAGAAAAAGAGUUUCCAGUGGAAUAAUCGAGAGAGGAAUAAAAUUCUGGUUGGAAAUUAGUCGAAGAAUCAACUGAGAUCGAGAUAAAAUCAUUAUCAUCAACAGUCCAUCAUUAAGAUUCAAGAAAGAUCUUUUCUUAGGAUUCAAUUUCUGGUACUAAUAUUGUUGAUUGGUAAAGUAGAAUUGGAGUCGGAUGCGCUGUUGGUGGUGCAAUUGGCAAUUGUGGAGACGGAGUUUGAGGUGGUGCUGGUGGAAGUGGAAGAUUAGGUUUUAGAGUAUGAUAUGCUUUUGUGUUGGUGAUGGAAUUGGUGGACUUCGUAGUGGUGGACAAGAAUUCAGUUUCUCAUAUUGCUUAUUGUGUAUAUUUAAUUUGAUCUUCUCUUGCAAGUCUUCACAUAUUUAUUUAUUUUCCAUUUACAUAUUUUGGUGUUUCGUAAACCAUUGAUCAAAAUAAACUACCCCAAGUGAUGACAAUGCUUGUCAAUUACGGAUUCAGAGGAAUGCAGAUACAGUUUUUGAAGUAGUUUUGUUUCCAGAGUCAUUUCUAUUUACAUGGCAGGAAAUUAGAGAUAUUGUUAUAUCUUCAAUUGAAUUAGAGAUAUUAGUAUGACCAGGCAAUCUUUUUUAAUUGGGGUUACGUCCACGAUAUGUUCUUAUGUUAUUUUGAGGGGGUGUCUUAGAAUGCGAGUGAAAAUCGGAAGUGUUUCAAUUAUUAGAGAUAGCAAGAAUAGACUUCUUUAGACCGUAAGUGAGGUUAGCACUGUUUAUUCCAGUUUAAUUUUGAUGAUAACUAAAGCAAGCAGAUUAAUACGAGGAUUGCACUAAGCCUUCAGUUAUCACACCUUCCCCUCAUUAAAUCUAUCUACGAAAUGUACACAUUUGUCAAUUAUACUUCAAUUAUUUAUAUAAUUAAAUCUUUGUGGUACUAAAUUUCGGUUUAAUUUCUUGUAUGUAUCUAAUUGUUGAAUGCAGUUCUUAAGGCACUGGUACUAAUACUACCUUGAUUAAUGAAUUUUGGUGGCUUAUUAUCUCAGAUAAGGAAACAGAGAUAUUGAGUUUGAUGGAGGAAAAUGGAGGAUAUAAUUUCAACCAACUGGUUUUUCUGACAACUUGAUUAUUUUUUAUGUAGGCUUAAGAAGGUUGCAAAAGAAAACCUUGAUACUGUUGUGGCUAUUGUUACGAGUGGCAGCGGCGGAGGUGGAAAUGGCGGCGGCAGAUGGUGGCGGGGGCGGAUUGAUGGUGACGGCGGUAGACUGGCGAUGAUGGUGGCGGUGGUGGCGUCAGUAGUGGUGGCGAACUGGUGGUGGUGGUACAGUAGCGACGGUGGCGACGGACUGGUGGUGGUGGUGGUGGUUGGUAGGUGGUGGUCGUUGGUGGUGGUGGUGGUCGUGUGGUGGUGUUAGUGGUGGUGGAAUGUUGGUGGUGGUGCGGGUGAAAUGGUAGAGGAAGAAAUUUGUUCCAUUUUGAAAUAAAAAAAAUAAAUGAAAACUUAACUGCCAUACUUCAAACUGUAGUUACUUUGUUGGGCAAGGCUUUCAUAUAAGCUUCAUUUCAAUGUCCCUUGUGUUUGGUUGGUAUUUUCAGUCAAGAGUAGCUGCAAACUUUAACCAAUAGUUACUUUGUUGGGCAGGGUCCAAUAUAAGCUUCAUUGCAAUCUUUCCUGUGUAAUCUUUGAUUGGUCCGCUUUGAAAACAUGCAUUUGAUCCAGUUCCAGUUGAUCAACCUUUUGUGAAGUGGAAAUCUAUUGCAAGGCAUUAAUCAUGCAUUUGGUCCUUAUUUCAUUA
Papaver somniferum (opium poppy) is the source of this 2029-nucleotide long non-coding RNA. RefSeq lists it as uncharacterized. NCBI's taxonomy places the organism in Eukaryota, Viridiplantae, Streptophyta, Magnoliopsida, Ranunculales, Papaveraceae. The transcript is spliced from 3 exons. The record is from RefSeq and is a predicted model, not a curated record.